CUAGCAUAUAUUUAGUAAUUGGUAGACCUGCUGUUCUAAGCAUUGGUACAGCAAGCAAUACUAAAACAACAGCUUGUUGCUGUUAAGACAGGUGACUUUAACAUAUGGGCAGGUGAGGACAGCAGUAUAGCAGUAUAUAAGUAAUUAAUUCUAACGAUAUUCCUGAUAGAAAAGUCCAGGAAUACAUCAGUGAUAUAUCUGAAGUUUUUACAAUGCUUAUACUUUUAUUUAAAAGAUAGCUCUAUUUCACAUUUGUCUCUACAAUCUCAUCAAAGGGAGACUGGGUUUUUAUUCAGAGAUAUGAACUAGUUAUUACGUGCUUUGCAAGAUUUGAACAGACCAAGUUCUGAUUUCCUACAUUGGUAUGUUCAUGAUAAGCAAAAUUGUGAUUAGCUAUUGACAGCACAGAGACCAGACAUGCCUUUCUUUACCUUGGGUUGACAUUAUGCUCUGAUACAUUUUUAACAGCUUGAAUUCUUUAUUUCUGGAAAGGCUCAAAGCAAACAACUAGGAAAAUGCUAUCAAUGCCAGGCCUUUGUUCUCCCUCAGAAGAUUUGUCUCUUUCCAUUUCAGUAAAGAAGAUUCUAGUUUCCCUCACCAGCAUCCUUGUAGGUGCCUGAAGCAGGGCUGACCCAAGACAGGAGAGAGACUGUGAACUCUAGGAAUUUCUUCACAUUAAAAAAACAGGGCGUCAGGAUUUAAGUACUCCUGCUUCAGCAAACACAGGUAUCCAUGUGCUAUGGUUUAAUAUGUUUUCCAAAGUUCACAUGUUGUAAAUUUGAUCCCUAACACAGCAAUGUUUGGGGGUGGAACUUUUAAAAGGUGAUUAGGUUAUGAGGGUUCUGCCCACAUGAAAGGAUUAGUGUUGUUAGUAGGUUUGUUAUAAAAGGAUGAUUGUUAGUGGGUUUGUUAUAAAAGGACCUCUUCUGCUCUCUCUCUCCCUCCCUCUCCCCAGUCCCACAUUAUGCCUUCCACCAUGUUAUUGAGCAGCAAGAAGGUCCUCACAAGAUGCCGACCCUUUAAUUUUGGACUUCCUAGUCUCCAGAAAUUCUGGGAAAAUAAAUUGUAAAAGCCUCCUUGGGUUUAAGAAUCAAGCACACAGCUGGGCGCGGUGGCUCACGCCUAUAAUCCCAGCAACUCUGGGAGGCUGAGGCAGGCAGAUCACCUGAGGUCAGGAGUUUGAGACCAGCCUGACCAACAUGGAGAAACCCUGUCUCUACUAAAAAUACAAAAUUAUCCUGUAAUCCCAGCUCGGGAGGCUGAGGCAGGAGAAUUGCUCGAACCCAGGAGGCAGAGGUUGUGGUGAGCCAAGAUCUAGCCAUUGCACUCUAGCCUGGGCAACAAGAGGGAGACUCCAUCUCAAAAAAAAAAUAAAUAAAGAACCACAUCUUGCGUAAAAGGAGGAAGCAUCAAAUAAAUGGCUUUAUUUAAUAAAAAUGAACAAACAAGCAGGUUACUCUACUUGGGUUCAAGACUGUAAUUCUGCUACAAACUUGCUGUCAGUCUUUGGAUAAGCUAAUUAACCUU
Molecule: long non-coding RNA, 1527 nt
Filed under: Callithrix jacchus (white-tufted-ear marmoset)
Lineage: Eukaryota; Metazoa; Chordata; Mammalia; Primates; Cebidae
Description: lncRNA (ENSCJAG00000083506.1)
Source: RNAcentral